Molecule: transfer RNA, 72 nt
Filed under: Candidatus Tectimicrobiota bacterium
Lineage: Bacteria; Pseudomonadati; Candidatus Tectimicrobiota
Description: tRNA-Gln
Rfam family: tRNA
About the family: Transfer RNA (tRNA) molecules are approximately 80 nucleotides in length.
Source: RNAcentral
UCCGGGGUCGUCUAACUGGUAGGACAACGGACUUUGGAUCCGUGAACCCAGGUUCGAAUCCUGGCCCCGGAG